RNAcentral lists this ribosomal RNA (252 nucleotides) under uncultured bacterium. Its description in RNAcentral is "partial 16S ribosomal RNA". It matches the Rfam family "Bacterial small subunit ribosomal RNA", at positions 524 to 776 of the family's 1533-position model. The record is from RNAcentral.
UACGGGGGGGCAAGCGUUGUUCGGAAUUACUGGGCGUAAAGGGCUCGUAGGCGGCCAACUAAGUCAGACGUGAAAUCCCCCGGCUUAACCGGGGAACUGCGUCUGAUACUGGAUGGCUUGAGUUCGGGAGAGGGAUGCGGAAUUCCAGGUGUAGCGGUGAAAUGCGUAGAUAUCUGGAGGAACACCGGUGGCGAAGGCGGCAUCCUGGACCGACACUGACGCUGAUGAGCGAAAGCCAGGGGAGCAAACGGG